Lagopus muta (rock ptarmigan) is the source of this 292-nucleotide long non-coding RNA. RefSeq lists it as uncharacterized. The transcript is spliced from 3 exons. NCBI's taxonomy places the organism in Eukaryota, Metazoa, Chordata, Aves, Galliformes, Phasianidae. The record is from RefSeq and is a predicted model, not a curated record.
CUUCAGUGGAGUCUUUCCUGUGAACCUAGAUCUUUGGAUAUAGAGACUGGUGAGAUGAGGAGGAGAAAUGCUGGAACCCACCUCUCACCAAGACUGGCAUCUGACAGCCAUUUAUGAAUCACCUUUGGGGUAGCUAUUCCAGAGAGCUUAAGGUACUUCCAGUAGAGUGUUUUUUUAAGGUCACAUGUUGGAAUGGAUUCAUGAAGGCUCGGGCUUGGUUUGUUGCAAAGAAUUGAGAUACCUCAUCUCCUCAGUCAAAAUCCUCCUAGAUUGUUUUGUGAUAAGAAGACUG